Bactrocera neohumeralis is the source of this 4618-nucleotide long non-coding RNA. RefSeq lists it as uncharacterized. NCBI's taxonomy places the organism in Eukaryota, Metazoa, Arthropoda, Insecta, Diptera, Tephritidae. The record is from RefSeq and is a predicted model, not a curated record. The transcript is spliced from 2 exons.
UAACAAAAAAACUACAUAAAUAUAUUAAAAAAAUAAUCUUUUGCGUUUAACUACGUAAACAUUUAAGAUAAUUUAAGAGAGCUAUUAAACUAGGACAUAAAAUCUUUGCAAAAAUCGUGAGAGAGGAAUUCGACUAAUCGAAAACAGUUUACUAAACUCAGGAAAAAUUGAUGCUCAGUGGUAUGAAAUAAUGUAGAAAUUAAAGGGGUUAUCAUGUAAAGCGUUGCGAAGAGUAAUGAAGAGCAAAAGUAAGGUACAGGGAUAAAAGGAUGCCCAGCUUAUUCCAGUAUCGACCAAAAUAAUAAUUUUUGGGCAUUCAAAUUAUAAUACCACCCAGGAGGUAUGCAAAAUGGUGCGUUAUCCAAGUUAGUUUCGCUCAGUUAGUUAUUUAUAUAAAAAAAGAAACAAAACAAUAACAAUUCAUUAACAUAUACAUGUAACUAGAAAACAAAAAGACAACAAUUCAUUUAACAAAACUAUAAAAAUAUAACAGUUAUAAUAUAUGUAUAUUAGGGUGUGUCAUUCUGAGGCAACAUUUUCGGAAUCGAUCUUCAGUAGUCGAAGUCGAUUAAGAAUCGAUUCUUGACAUUCGAAAAAUCGAUUAUUCUACGAGAAAACUCGAUUCUCGAGUAGAAUCGGAAUCGAGUUUACCAUCCCUACUGGCAGCCAUCUACCUUGGGAUUAGCCUCCUCAACAUCGCAUAUAAGGUUCUAUCGAGCGUAUUGUGUGAAAGAUUAAGGCCCACCGUCAACAAACUAAUUGGACCUUAUCAGUGUGGCUUUAGACCUGGCAAAUCAACAACCGACCAGAUAUUCACCAUGCGCCAAAUCUUAGAAAAGACCCGAGAAAGGAGAAUCGACACACACCACCUCUUCGUCGAUUUCAAAGCUGCUUUCGACAGCACGAAAAGGAGCUGCCUUUAUGCCGCGAUGUUUGAAUUUGGUAUCCCCGCAAAACUUAUACGGCUGUGUAAACUGACGUUGAGUAACACAAAAAGCUCCGUCAGGAUCGGGAAGGACCUCUCCGAGCCGUUCGAUACCAAACGAGGUUUCAGACAAGGCGAUUCCCUAUCGUGCGACUUCUUCAACCUGCUUUUGGAGAAAAUAGUUUGAGCCGCAGAACUAAAUAGAGAAGGUACCAUCUUCUAUAAGAGUGUACAGCUGCUGACGUAUGCCGAUGAUAUUGAUAUCAUCGGCCUCAACACCCGCGCCGUUAGUUCUGCUUUCUCCAGGCUGGACAAGGAAGCAAAAGAAAUGGGUCUGGUAGUGAACGAGGGCAAGACGAAAUAUCUCCUGUCAUCAAACAAACAGUCGUCGCGCUCGCGACUUGGCACUCACGUCACUGUUGACAGUCAUAACUUUGAAGUUGUAGAUAAUUUCGUCUAUCUUGGAACCAGCGUAAACACCACCAACAAUGUCAGCCUAGAAAUCCAACGCAGAAUAACUCUUGCCAACAGGUGUUACUUCGGACUGAGUAGGCAAUUGAGAAGCAAAGUUCUCUCUCGACAAACAAAGACCAAACUCUAUAAGUCACUCAUAAUUCCCGUCCUGCUAUAUAGUGUGUAGAGUCUUGGACGAUGUCAACAACGGAUGAGUCGACGUUGCGAGUUUUCGAGAGAAAAGUUCUGCGAAAGAUUUAUGGACCUUUGCGCGUUAGCCACGGCGAAUACCGCAUUCGAUGGAACGAUGAGCUGUACGAGAUAUACGACGACAUCGACAUAGUUCAGCGAAUUAAAAGACAGCGGCUACGCUGGCUAGGUCAUGUUGUCCGGAUGGACGAAAACACUCCAGCUCUGAAAGUAUUCGACGCAGUACCCGCCGGGGGAAGCAGAGGAAGAGGAAGACCUCCACUCCGUUGGAAGGACCAAGUGGAGAAGGACCUGGCUUCGCUUGGAAUAUCCAAUUGGCGCCACGUAGCGAAAAGAAGAAACGACUGGCGCGCUGUUGUUAACUCGGCUAUAAUCGCGUAAGCGGUGUCUACGCCAAUUAAGAAGAAGAAGAAUGUAUAUACAUAUACAUACAUAGUACAAAUCCCAAAUUCUAAUUUUACUUUCUAAUUUGAUUGCUUCUGCAUUGUAAAUUCGCUUAUUGUAACCAGAAAAUUUAAACUUGUUAAAAAAUAAAUUCUUAAUCUAAUGAAAAUGGCUAUAACUAUUUUUGGGUCACAAUUUUCACAACACAAAAAGGUUUCAUUGUACUAAAAAGGCUACCGUAAAAAAUAUAUUUUCUUGCCUUUAACAUUAAGAAAAGGCCGUGACGCUGAAACUUCUAACAAAUUAGUGAAAUUCUGAAAAUUGGUGUACUGUUCGCAAACAAAAUGGCAUUUUUCUUUACUGGCGUAGACACCGCCCACGCGGUCAUAGCCUACUUUACAACAGCAGGCUGUUUUCUUCUAUUCAUUGGGGGCGUUUUUUACGUGGCGAGUUCAGCGCACAACCCUGGGGAAAGAUAUUUUGCCUUCUCACUUUAGCUCAUCUUCAAACGGACGUUCUUUGGCUACCCAGAGGAUACUUGGUCUAAGACCGGAAGUCGUGAACUGCUUGAGCCACAUAUGAAAGAAUCGUUUCUGAACACACUCAAGUGAAUGGCAAAGUACCAAGUACUUUCGGAUGGAAAAUCUGAUGAUUGGUGAUUUAAGUGACGAUAACCAACUGGCGACAAAAAAAUACACCCAAAUCUAUCGUUUUAAAAAAAUUGUCAUAUCGUCGACCAUUUCUACGGCGAUUACUAUUUAUAAACCUAAUACAAGCAUCUAACUGUGGAACUUUACUACAAACUAAUGAAAGAGGUUCUGCCGGUUCCCCAAACUAACUAUUCCUUAACUGUUCCCUACAUAAUCUAACUAACUGGGCCUUUAAACUACUAUUUCAACAAUAAUUGGAAAAAGCUACCUCGAUGUACUGUUUGCAUUUGAGGCAGAUUCUUAAAUUUCUUAAACUGAUACAGCAUCGUCUCCGUUAUCUUCAUAAAUUUCAUUGGUGGCUUGCGUGGCAUUUUUCACUUUUUUAUACAAAAAUUUCAAACUAUAACGAAUUUCUUCAUUAUUUUCAUUCAUUUUUAUACAGCUGUAACUUUUUUUCAACUUCCCUGAUUUUUUUGUUAAAUGAAGCUUAAAAUCUUACCUUUGGAGAUAUACAUACGACUGCAACGACAUCUAUUGACAAAAUGCGAAAAGACCUUUUCGAUUACUCAAUAUAUGGGGGUUUCCAAUAAAAGUGAUACGAAAAAAAUGCACUAUUUAUUAAAGAAAUUCAAAUGUUUUUUUUUAUUUAGUGUGAAGUACAAUCGAUAUUAUUAAGUUUUGAAUAUAACAUCAUUAAAAUGGCCUCCACGAUUUCUUUUGCAGGAACGAAAUCGGUGAAUUGAAUUUUCGGGUACUUUUCUCACAAUAAUUCGAUUGUUGCACGUGCUGUGUGGCUUGUAUCCUCAAUAUCAAUUUCUUCCGAUUGCGACCAUAAAAACUUGGUUGUCAUUGAUCUAUACCGCUCUCAUUUGACAGUAACGGUGCCAUCACCAAACUGUGAAUUUAGGUGAAUGUAAUGGUUGUUCAUGAAUAAUGUGUGGAUUUUCGUCUCAUCAGAAUCGACAGUUUUGUUUAUUUACCGCACCAUUUAGAUGAAAGUGAGCCUCUUCGAAGAAGAUUAUUUUGUUAGAUAUUGGAGAUCGAUUAUUUUGAUAAUAAAAUUGAAUAAUAUGUAAACGUUGUUCUUGCGUAUAUCUUCCCAUGUUGAAAUUGUAAACAUAACUAAAUACAAUGAAAAACAAGUAAGAAAGGACUAAGCUCGGGUGCAACCGAAUAUUUUAUACUCUUGCAACUAGCAGGAAUCAAAGCCAGGGAAAUACUUCCAGAUGUGAAAUCAGGGGCGUCGCGAGGAUCCAGAUCAUGGGGGGGUGAGUCCCUUUGAAAUGCCGACUCAUUUCAAGAAUUUGCCGAUUUAAUGUACAUAUAUGUUUAUAAAUAUAUAUAAAAUAAGGAUAUCUUCAUUUCUGAUAAGGUAUUACGGAGAAGUUUUACAACAUAAUAGCAUAAUUCAUUAUUUUAUUCUCAAAUAAGUAUUGUACAUAUUGAUUUGAAUUUUUAACAUUGCUGUAUACAUACAUAUAUGAGACGAUAUGAUAAACUAAUCAUAAUCUCCUUCGUCAAUUUAAACAGAACGAGUUUCUUGUGAAUUAAAAUAUUGCACCUAUAAAAGUAAAUUAGGAGAUAAUCGACUUUUGAAAGAAUGACGAUCGAUAGUAAAUUCAUUACUAACUUAAAAUUCGAACUUAAAAAAAAAUAUAUUCAACCACUGUUAUUCGAACAUUGUAGUGUUUUAAUAAUCCUCGUGGAAAUUACGAAAAGGUGUCUUUUUAAGCUUGCUUCCGCAAUUAUAGAGCUAUUUAUUGCGUUUUACUGAAGUUAGAAUUUUCAUAAAUGCCGGCUAGUGAAUUCGCAAUGGAUAUGACCUAAAAAUUAAUGUGCAAUAAUAUAUUUUGAUGAAAAUCUUAAAAAUAUUCAAUAAGUUUUGACAACAAAUUUCCGGGUACUUGGCAACUCUUACUGGAAUUGCCGAAAUGAACUUUCAAAUUUUUAGUUAUGAUAUUAAAACGGCCGAAAAUGCCGACUCGUUCAUAGAUGG